AGAGAGGGCUCCCGCGUCCGCGAACACCUCCGCGCUGCGGCGGCAAGAGAGGGCGAACGCCCCCACGCCCGCGGUGGCGGCCGCGGGGGGCGGCGGGUCGGUGCCGCAGCUGGUGCAGGAGAUCCAGGACAAGCUGGCGCGGGGGGCGGUGGAGUGCAUGAUCUGCUACGACAUGGUGCGCCGCUCCGCCCCCGUCUGGUCCUGCGGCAGCUGCUUCUCCAUCUUCCACCUCCCCUGCAUCCGCAAGUGGGCGCGCUCCCCGGCCUCCGUCUCUGACGCCUCCGCGCCGGCCUCCGACGCCUGGCGCUGCCCCGGCUGCCAGUCCGUGCAGGACGUCCGCGCCCGCGACAUCGCCUACACCUGCUUCUGCCGCCGCCGCCGCGACCCGCCCAACGACCUCUUCCUCACCCCGCACUCCUGCGGCGAGCCCUGCUCCAAGCCCCUCGGCAAGGCGGAUCCUGCGGCCAAGGGCGGUGACGAAGAUGAUGUCGCCACCAGGUGCCCGCACGUAUGCGUCCUGCAGUGCCACCCUGGGCCGUGCCCGCCCUGCAAGGCGUUUGCUCCGGAGCGCCCCUGUCCUUGCGGCAAGCAGUCUAUCACGCGUCGCUGCGCGGACUGGAGUACGCCUGUCACGUGUGGGCAGCGGUGCGAGAAGCUGCUGCCCUGCCGGAGGCACCGCUGCGAGAAGGUCUGCCACACCGGCCCCUGCGGUGACUGCGAGGUUAACUUCCCUGCACAGUGCUUCUGUGGCAAGAAAACAGAGACAUUGUUGUGCGGCGAGAUGGUGCUCAAAGGGAAGCUGUCGGACAAGGAUGGGGUGUUCUCUUGCAGUGAGGUUUGCGGCCACAAUCUGGCAUGUGGCAAUCAUGCCUGCCAGGAUGUUUGCCACCCAGGGCCGUGUGGGGAGUGCGAGCUUGUGCCAGGGAAGGUCACCACAUGCCAUUGUGGCAAGACAAGGCUGCAGGAGAAGAGGGCUAGCUGCUUGGACCCAAUCCCCACCUGUGACAAGGUAUGCGACAAGAGAUUGCCCUGUGGAGUGCAUAGGUGCAAGGUCACGUGUCACGAAGGAGAGUGUCCACCGUGCUUGGUGCGUGUCGAGCAGAGGUGCCGCUGUGGCUCAUCAGGCCAGAUGGUGGAGUGCUACAAGGUAUUGAAGGAAGAGUUCCGUUGCAACAAGCCUUGUGGCCGCAAGAAGAACUGCGGGAGGCACAGGUGCAGUGAGUGCUGUUGCCCGCUGUCGAAGCCAUUUGCUCAGCAUCAAGGUGACAGCAUGGAUCCCCAUUUCUGCCAGAUACCAUGUGGAAAGAAGCUCCGUUGUGGACAGCAUGGUUGCCAGCAUCUCUGCCACAGCGGUCACUGUGACCCUUGCCGCGAGACCAUAUUCCAUGAUCUCACUUGUGCCUGUGGCAGGACAUCUAUUCCGCCACCACAGCCUUGCGGCACACCAACUCCAUCAUGCCCACACCAGUGCAUGGUCCCUCAGCCUUGCGGGCAUCCAGCUUCGCAUCAAUGCCAUUUCGGGGACUGCCCACCUUGCGUUGUGCCAGUCACAAGAGAAUGUGUUGGGGGGCAUGUGAUGUUGAGGAACAUCCCUUGUGGUUCAAAGGAUAUCAGAUGCAACCAGCCCUGUGGAAAGAACCGCCAAUGUGGACUGCAUGCUUGUGCCAGGACUUGCCAUCCUGCCCCAUGUGAUCCACCGCCUGCAAAUGGAGAAGCUAGUUCAAGCUCUGGGGGCAGAGUUUCAUGUGGACAGUUAUGUGGUGUCCCAAGGAGGGAAUGCAAGCACACUUGCAAUGCGCCAUGCCACCCGUCGUCACCUUGCCCAGAUGUGAGAUGUGAACACCGUGUGACUAUUACCUGUUCUUGUGGCCGUAUCACUACAGCUGUGCCCUGCAGUGCUGGUGGAGCCUACAAUGGUGAUAGUGCGUUCGAUAUCUCCGUCAUGCAGCAGCUGCCAAUGCCUCUCCAACCAGUGGAAUCAAAUGGGAAGAGGGUUCCUCUUGGGCAGAGGAAACUUUGUUGUGACGAGGAGUGUGCAAAAAUGGAGAGGAAAAGGGUCCUUGCUGAAGCUUUUGACAUUACCCCGCCCAAUCUGGAUGCACUCCAUUUUGGUGAGAACUCAAAUGCGUCGGAUUUGCUUUCUGAUCUUUUCCGGCGUGAGCCAAAGUGGGUUCUGGCCAUAGAGGAGAGGUGCAAGUUCCUUGUCCUUGGGAAGACAAAGGGGAAUUCUUCAAGCAACAUGAAGUUCCAUGUCUUCUGUCACAUGAUGAAGGACAAGAGAGAUGCUAUCAGGCUCAUUGCAGAUAGGUGGAAGCUUUCUGUCCAGGCAGUUGGGUGGGAACCCAAGCGUUUUAUUACCGUCCAUGUCACACCCAAGUCCAAGGUUCCUGCUCGUGUUCUGGGCUCUAAGCCUGGUGUCCCUGUCUCGGCGUCCCAUCCUUACUUUGAUCCCAUGGUGGACAUGGAUCCGAGGCUCGUCGUUGCAAUGCUGGACCUGCCCAGGGAUGCUGAUGUUAGCUCUCUAGUUUUAAGGUUUGGUGGGGAGUGUGAAUUGGUUUGGCUGAAUGACAAGAAUGCCGCUGCAGUCUUCAGCGAUCCAGCUAGAGCAGCGACAGCGCUGAGGCGGCUGGAUUAUGGGUCUGCUUACCAGGGUGCUGCAAUGUUUUGCCCAAGCAGCAUCACUCAGGCUUCUGUGUCAAGCAAUGUGUGGGUCGGAGCACAGAGAGAUGGAGGGUUGGCUGCAAAGAGCAGUGCCAAUCCAUGGAAGGCCUCUCAAUCUGAGCCCGACCCAUCUGGAGACUGGACAGUGCUCAGUCAUGCUUCAGGGUCAGUGUGGAAACGUGGUGAUACUCCUGCUCAGGUCAUGGGUUCUUCAAACCGCUGGAAUGCUCUGGAGUCUGAUGCUGCAACCAGCUCUGGGCCAACCGACAAACGUAAGCCUCCUCUUCGCACUGAAACAGGAUCCAGCAGUUCUGCUCCCCGCGUUGGUGCUGGAUCCAGCGCAGCACCAAGUGCUGGGCAAUCGGUGAGCAAGCUGCAGCCUGACGUCGAAGUUGAAGACUGGGAAGAAUCGUGUGAAUGAUGAGACCGAGGGGUUAAUGUAUGGCAGCCAAAAUUGCCCUUCGACACGAUUCUCACCCUUUCUUUUGCAUCGACAAGAUCAUCCUUCUCCCAUGCUGACCAACUCCAUGACCUGGUCUGAAGACUUUGCUUGGUUAUUUCAACUGAUCAUCUGCGUGUUGUUAUGCCAGUGCAUUGUUGCUAGAUAUAGUGGGUGGUUGCGGAAUUAAAUAUUGAAUUGUUUCUAUGCCAUUCAACUACUUAAGUUAAUGCACUCAACGUAUGCCAGUCAGUUACUCUAAACUAGUGAUUCUGUUAUGCCUACGGUUCCAGUUGCUAUUCCGCUGUUUCAUUUUGAUGUCACACUUCAUGUUUUCAUUGGAAGUAAAAUGCGCAGCAAUAAAUGUUCUUCACCUUACAGCUCUUUAUGCUUAUAGCCCCCUUUAGAUGAACCAAAUGGGCUCUGUGAUAGCUCAUUAUCUUAAACUGAGAGUUAUCUUCCUAUACAAUGAACAGAAGGUGCAUCUUGUGCCACUUUGCAAAGUCAGUCAUAAGAACUUCCUUGCAGGUUCAGUCAUGGUUGUUUUGAACAAAGUAACACAUGCACUCUGUACUGUAUAAUUCAGAGGUGCCUAAUUGCAUGGCAUUAUUGAAAAAUUAUCUCUGAAGGGAAAUUACUAUCUUUCUGAUAAUGGGUUAGACACAAUCAUCUCGGCAGCUCCUUUGAGUUAGCUAGCUAAAUUUAAGUUAGCGCUCUCUUCUCAUUUCAUCUGGACUCAACCGUAUGUCCUCCCCAUAAUGGAUGCCAACUGUGAUCACUUUUUAGUUACUUAGGAGGUAAUCUUGGUGAAGGGGAACAGACCGCCACCAAUUCUGAUCUUUGUAAGAGUAUGAAGAAAGAUAAGCAAGCAACUGAUAACUCUGGAAGGCUAAAGAAGAAACAAUUUCCACUCUUUUAAUUGUAGGCCACUUGUGUUGAAAGAGCUUAGCUUCGGUGUAAGGAACUACAGGAUGGAAGAAGGCUUGACGUUAUCAAAAUAAUUAUUGUUUGGACUUGUUUGAUGCCCAUGAUUUACUGGAGAGUCAAUGUUAUAAGUCCAAGACUAACCCUCUUUGGUUGGAAAAAGGCUUGACAUUGUCAAAAUAUUUAGUGUUUGGACUUGUAUGAACCCCAUGAUUUACUGGAAGUCGAUGUUAUAAGUCCAAGCCUAACCUAACCCUCUUCGGUUGAAAAUGCAUGCCCUCAGAGCCUCAGAUUGAACCAUAUUGUGACUGUUUGUUUGAGAAAUGCCACUAAUACUAUAAAUGGCAUUAACCUAACCAACUCUCUUACUGAACUUGUUCUGUUAGACAAGAUGCCAUUUUGUGUUUUCUGGACCUUUUUAUAUUUAUGUUUCCUCGAUAAACUCUUGUCUAGCAAAGAGGUCCAAACAUUUAUGUUCAUUAUCUACUGUUUCAGUUAUUACUUGCUGACUCUCUUUGCUUCAACUCCAUUCAAGAUGAUCCAAGUCAGCGUGCCUGUCUCUGAUUUUCCUGCAAUGUCACUGCUUAUGCAACACACACAGGGUUUCUUAUCUACAUCUUCAGUGCAUAUCUUGUACUAUCCAUUGAUCUAUUUAUUUAUUUUUUCACAAAGUAGACGUUGCUCACUCAAGUAUUGUUGGCAGUCUGAAACGGUAAAUUUUCUGGAGAUACUUGUCCUUUAAAUUGUGCACAAGUUUCUGACUCAAGUAUUGUUGGCAGCCUGAAACUGUACCUCCAAUUUCUGAGCUAGGUUCAGUUGCUCUCAUUGAGCUGAUGUCUCUUGACAAUUUUGUGGACUCACUGAGCAUGAAGAAGAUUGGAAUAAAAGUUCUUUUACUCGAUCAGAGUUCCAUAUCAGGCGUUGGUAAUUGGAUUGCAGAUGAGGUGCUUUACCAGUUAUCCAUACAAAAAUUUGUGAGGCCUGCAUCAAAGGCAGCACUUGAACUUCGAUUUUGUUAUGGGCCUGGAAAUGUAUGGGUCCUGGGACGGAGGGUUGGACACCUGCCCUUGAUUGCUAGAGGCUUGAUUGUACAAGAGGGGAAGGAACCAUGAAUUUAUUAUAUUGUUUAUUACUAGCCUCGAACUAGUUAUUCAACAAAUUAUUACUAGCAAUGCCAUGCACCUGAAUCGAUCUGAUCUUAUCGUGAACAACUGAGGUUAUCACAACAUGGAGAUAAAGCUGCUCUGUUCCUUAGAUAAAACUACUGCAGCUUCUGCACUUGUUUUGCUGCACUGUUGCUUGGCUGUAACAGAGUUCAUGGUAUUCUUUGCACUCGAGAACCCAUCCAUUACUGAUUGCCUCAAGCUUAACAAGGGACAGAGCUGAAGCACUGCACCAAAGCAUCCAGGAGGUUAUUCUAACUUGACAUUGUUUUGAGUAAUUGUUGUAUGCAGCCUUGCAGAAUACCCAAGACACUAUUAGGUUGUGAAAUAUGCUGUCAAGCCGAUGCUGAUUGUGACCCGCUUUCGUGUGGAAUGAUUGUUUCACAAACGAUGGAGCAGCAAGCUUGGUAAAUCUGAUG
RNAcentral lists this ribosomal RNA (5606 nucleotides) under Triticum aestivum (bread wheat). RNAcentral describes it as "partial small subunit ribosomal RNA". Lineage: Eukaryota; Viridiplantae; Streptophyta; Magnoliopsida; Poales; Poaceae. The record is from RNAcentral.